UGGAGGUGAUGAACUGGCUUAGCCUGACCCUGUUAGAAUGGAGGCGAAAAACUGAUUUAAUGAGCCUGAUCC
RNAcentral lists this small nucleolar RNA (72 nucleotides) under Zalophus californianus (California sea lion). The record is from RNAcentral. RNAcentral also lists the same sequence under 1 other name. Lineage: Eukaryota; Metazoa; Chordata; Mammalia; Carnivora; Otariidae.